Molecule: ribosomal RNA, 110 nt
Filed under: Propithecus coquereli (Coquerel's sifaka)
Lineage: Eukaryota; Metazoa; Chordata; Mammalia; Primates; Indriidae
Source: RNAcentral
AUUUACAGCCAUACCACCCUGAAUGUGCCCAAUCUUGUCUGAUCUUGGAAGCUAAGCAGGGACAGGCCUGGUUAGUACUUGGAUGGGAGAAAUACCUCCUAUCGUUAGGC